CGGAACGGAGCAAUCCGGUCCG
RNAcentral lists this small nuclear RNA (22 nucleotides) under Arabidopsis thaliana (thale cress). Its description in RNAcentral is "snRNA_12329". Lineage: Eukaryota; Viridiplantae; Streptophyta; Magnoliopsida; Brassicales; Brassicaceae. The record is from RNAcentral.